CACCACUUUAUCUCUUUUGCAGAUUGAUUGAUAAUCUAAUUGAUGUUAUGGCAUUUUUCCUCGUGAUUAUCAAUUUUUAUUGAAACCUCGUAGGGACUAGGGACUAUGAUAGAUAUUACCUAUUAUUAAAGAUAUUCCUGCUUUAUUAAAGAGGGCAAGAAGUAGUGUACUUAUUGUCUGCUAAUUGUUAAAAUCUAGGUGUUUUUAUGUUCUUUUGAUGGUAAAAAAGGGAAAAAGGAGGACAAAAACACGAAACCAAUGACCCAUACAUGCACACACAAACACGUAGCAACUGACUUGUAUGAGCCGGCUGAUUGAUUGAUGGCCAAGACUCUGCAACAGUAUUAACAAAGAAAUGAUGUCAUCUUAGGUUAGAAAUGCUUAAUAUGCUGUCACUACAGGUGACACACAGUUGUUUUGUUACUUUAUUUUCUUACAUUAAUUGAGGUUCUUUACAAUUUUGAUGUGUAGUCAGUAUUUUGCACUACUGGAUCCUUUCUUUAGUUAGUAUCCCAUCAUUGUUAAACAAAUCAUCAAUUAGUUAUUAUGUUGAUGCCUCAUUUAUCCUAUUCCUUCAGUCGAUAGGUCAUUAGCACUUGUGGUCCUAAUGUGCAGCCAUACUUUUUCUGCCAGCUUCACAAUCAUAAAUUCUAUAACUUGUCACGAGACUGUUAGUAAGCAUGUCCAUACAAACAAGCACAUAAAGAAAUGGUGGCUUGUGUAUUCUGCAAUCAAUAACUGAACAGUGUAUUCUGGCACAUGUGCUAAUUUUAACUUACAUCAUCCUGGUGUAGUUUGCUAUAUUUUCACCUUUGAAAUGAGAAAGAUAGUUCAUGUUAUUGUAGUGAACAUAUCGAUGCAAAGACAUCCUCACAUGUCUCCUGAUGUUAAAAGAUAUUUGUAUUUUAGAUAUACCAAGUGACUGUAUAAAAGGCUUUCUACUUACUGGAGUACGUUGCCUUUUCCCUGGUCAUCUAAGUUAACUGUAAUCCAAGGUUGUAUUAAGACAGUUUAUAUGUGAUAUUUCAGUAGACUAUUUCUUGACAUUGUCAUAAUUCUGAUCUCAAAUCGAGUUCAACAACCAAUUCUAUUCUCAUUCAUGUUGGAUAUGGUAGUGUGGGUAAUGCUACCUUUUUAUUGUCUUAAUGAGUCAGUAUAGAAAUUCACAGACAUGGAAGGAAUUGCUGGUUUGGAAUAUGAUAACCUUGUAAUUCGGGAUUGACAUGUAGGAAUUGUAGAAAAGAUGGAGAAAAAGCAUUGUAAUGUUGAAGAUGAGGUCCACUGUAACAUGGGAAAUUGUCUUUGUUUUAUAUUGACUGUGGAUUUACUUUGCAAUAUCUGAGGACAGAACUAACUGAUUCUUGUCUUUUCUUUUUCUUCCUUUU
Molecule: long non-coding RNA, 1385 nt
Organism: Musa acuminata AAA Group (dessert banana)
Lineage: Eukaryota; Viridiplantae; Streptophyta; Magnoliopsida; Zingiberales; Musaceae
Exons: 2
Source: RefSeq, a predicted model, not a curated record